Molecule: transfer RNA, 62 nt
Filed under: bovine gut metagenome
Rfam family: tRNA
About the family: Transfer RNA (tRNA) molecules are approximately 80 nucleotides in length. Their secondary structure includes four short double-helical elements and three loops (D, anti-codon, and T loops). Further hydrogen bonds mediate the characteristic L-shaped molecular structure. tRNAs have two regions of fundamental functional importance: the anti-codon, which is responsible for specific mRNA codon recognition, and the 3' end, to which the tRNAs corresponding amino acid is attached (by aminoacyl-tRNA synthetases). tRNAs cope with the degeneracy of the genetic code in two manners: having more than one tRNA (with a specific anti-codon) for a particular amino acid; and 'wobble' base-pairing, i.e. permitting non-standard base-pairing at the 3rd anti-codon position.
Source: RNAcentral
CUUAGCUCAACUGGCAGAGCAACUGAUUUGUAAUCAGUAGGUUACUGGUUCGAUUCCGGUAG